This 448-nucleotide ribosomal RNA is filed under the name uncultured bacterium. RNAcentral's name for it is "partial 16S ribosomal RNA". It matches the Rfam family "Bacterial small subunit ribosomal RNA", at positions 330 to 794 of the family's 1533-position model. The record is from RNAcentral.
CCCAGACUCCUACGGGAGGCAGCAGUGGGGGAUAUUGCACAAUGGGGGGAACCCUGAUGCAGCGACGCCGCGUGGGUGAAGGAGCGUUUCGGCGCGUAAAGCCCUAUCGGCAGGGAAGAAGGAGGACGGUACCUGACUAAGAAGCCCCGGCUAACUACGUGCCAGCAGCCGCGGUAAUACGUAGGGGGCAAGCGUUAUUCGGAUUUACUGGGUGUAAAGGGGGCGCAGACGGCAGCGCAAGCCAGGAGUGAACGCCCGGGGCCCAACCCCGGGACUGCUCUUGGAACUGCGCGGCUGGAGUGCAGGAGGGGCAGGCGGAAUUCCUGGUGUAGCGGUGAAAUGCGUAGAUAUCAGGAGGAACACCGGUGGCGAAGGCGGCCUGCUGGACUGCGACUGACGUGGAGGCCCGAAAGCGUGGGGAGCAAACAGGAUUAGAUACCCCGGUAAC